This is a non-coding RNA of Mycena epipterygia, 95 nucleotides long. NCBI's taxonomy places the organism in Eukaryota, Fungi, Basidiomycota, Agaricomycetes, Agaricales, Mycenaceae. The record is from the annotation of a GenBank genome assembly.
GACUCGGUGGCGGAUGGCCCGUCUCUGCUCUACAUUCGUGUGAAGUGAUACUAAGUACAAUGCAGACGACGCCUGUUCGACUCAGGCCCGAGCCA